UGCGCAAGUUGCUUCCCGUGCAAGGUGCCAC
Molecule: non-coding RNA, 31 nt
Filed under: Mus musculus (house mouse)
Lineage: Eukaryota; Metazoa; Chordata; Mammalia; Rodentia; Muridae
Source: RNAcentral